RNAcentral lists this non-coding RNA (31 nucleotides) under Mus musculus (house mouse). Lineage: Eukaryota; Metazoa; Chordata; Mammalia; Rodentia; Muridae. The record is from RNAcentral.
UGUCAGUUUAUGACACUUUUCACAGCUUAGU